GCAUUAUUGAGACCUUAAAAGCUUGGUGCUAACAACAAAUGAGCACUGGCCUGGAAAAUCCACUUCCUCUUAGGCAUGAUGAGGUAGGGAUCUGGAAAGCAAGUUUUAGGUAUUUGCAGAAUCUCCCUGCAUUAAAAAAAAAAAAGAAAGAAAGCAAGCAAGAAAGAAAAAAUGGUCACAGUCAUAUACAGGCUGCUUUCAUGGAAUCAUUCAGUUCUGCAGCCCCUGUAUGUGAUCCAAACCUCUUUGCAUCUCCGACUGCAGCCCAGUACCUGAGGGUCAAGUACCCCACUGAGAGCUCAGAAAGAGAAGCCAGAAAAAGAUAUGGAGCUGGUACGGGUGACUGUUGAGCACAGAUGGCCAGUUAUCGAUGUAAUCUGUGUAUCUGGGAGGCAUGUGCUGUAAGAAGGCAGCUGCUAAACUGAAUUAAGCCACAGUUUUUAAGAAGAGAAAGUGGAUUGGAAACGGAUAGAAGUUUUGAAUGUAUGCGGCUGUGUGAAGCUAUGAUCUAUGGUUAAAAAUCAGGAUGAUAUGCACCAAGAGACUGAGGAUCUUUCCAAAGUACAACCCUACGGAAGCCAGACUCCAAAUAGGAAGCUGCCAAGAUCAAUUCAUUUUGAUAAAUCAACUGUUUCAGAAGGCCAUCUACACUGAAAUACAGCUGCUGUUCUUUUUUUUUCUAACAAAAUGAUCAUGAAGCAAGCAUGAACCAACUAUUACUCAGACUGUUUUACUGAACUAAUGAAUUGCUCUGGGAAGCCUGUUAUGAAGAUGUGUGUUCAAUUAUUACAUACAAACUGGUUAAAAGGAAAUACAUCAUAAUUAGGCUAACAUAUCUACUGUGAUGCAGCCUCUCCUGAUGAAAGAACUCCUUUGAGACAGUGUGGGCACAUUGGGGUACUUUGUGUUUUUCUGUUUAUUGAUUUUCAUCUUUUAUAAUUUGAUGGAUUAACCAACACUGGUUCACAACUGUUCCUUGUCCAGUUUAAUGGAGGAAAAAAAAAAACCCUCUUGGCCUCUUUUAAAAAAUCUUUUCCUAGAUGUGUGAGAGGAAUAAGCAUUUGGUCUCCAGCAAUACUACUGAGAACAUUCACCUAGAUCAAAAUGAGGAAAUGCAUUUCAGCUGUCACUACCAUGUCAUUAUGGCCCCUCCUCUACUGCAUUUCUGUUGCCAAAAAGAAUCCUCACCAGAUCAAAAUGAUUGGAAUCAGGCCCAAGACAGCUGUGGCCUAGAUAAAGAAAACCAAGCGAUUUUCAGUCUCCAAGAUACCAAACAGAAAAUGUCACUGAUGGCCAGUAUUACUCAUCUGAAUGUGACACUUUCUGUACAGUCCUUGGCCUAUUGUUGUUUGCUAGAGUUUAAAGAGGAGAGAGGAGAGGAUUCCAUUUACUUUAAAGCCUUCUACUGCAAAGCUGGGGACUCAGCAAGUGACGCAGAGAAAACUUUGGAAGUCUAUGAAAAGAACCAACAAACCAAUCAACUACAGUGCCCCUUAUUCUAUUAAUGUUAUUGUUCAAGAACUGAGGAGAAACUGGCAUGCACAGAAAUUCUAGACGGGAGAGUAGAAAAGGACAUAUGGAGUACGACUCUUAGAUAUAUUAAAAUGUGACCUCAUAUACUACUGGGGACUCUAAUAAAAGGGAGACUACAUGAAGGAAAAGUCAUCAAGUCACAAGAAGUUUGGGUACUGUUGAAGGAUACGCCAACUUUGAGUCUGAAGUGAAAAGAAAUAAGCAUGACAUUUUUUUUUUAAUCCAACAAAUUCCUUGAUUUUUCUCUGUCAAUCUAAUGCUGAACCCUGCUUUAAAAGAAGAAAGGUACAGGAAAAAUUCAACAUUCAGAAAACUAAAAUCAUGGCAUCUGGUCCCAUCACUUCACAGCAAACAGAUGAGGAAACAAUGGAAACAGUGACAGACUUUAUUUUCUUGGGCUCCAAAAUCACUGCAAACGGUGACUACAGCCAUGAAAUUAAAAGAUGCUUGUUCUUUAGAAGGAAAGCUAUGACAAACCUAGACAGAGUAUUAAAAGCAGAGACAUCACUUGCUGACAAAGGUCCCUGUAAGUCAAAUAUAACUUAUAGGACCCUUAGGGACCUUAAUAAGUUUUUCCAGUAGUCAUGUACGAAUGUGAGAGUUGAACCAUAAAGAAGGCUGAGCACUGAAGAACUGAUGCUUUUGAACUGUGGUGUUGGAGACAACUCUUGAGAGUCCCUUGGACUGCAAGGAGAUCAAAUAAGUCAAUCCUACAGGAAAUCAAUUCUGAAUAUUCAUUGGAAGGACUGAUGCUGAAGCUGAACCUCUAAUACUUUGGCCACCUGAUGCAAAGAACUGACUUUUAGAAAAGACCCUUAUGCUAGGAAAGAUUGAAGGCAGGAGGAGAAGGGGAUGACAGAGGAUGAGAUGGCUGGAUGGCAUCACCAAUUCAAUGGACACAAGUUUGAGCAAGCUCCAGGAGUUGAUGAUGGACAGGGAAGCCUGGCAUGCUGCAGUCCAUGGGGUCACAAAGAGUUGGACAUGACUGAGCGACUAGAGUAAACUGAACUGAACUGACUGAUGGUACACACCAGAGGUUUGGGCACAGGCAGAAACGCACCGUGAAAUGUAGCCAAAGGUGUGAGGUGAAUGCGGCUUGCUCCAGCCAGUCCUUUCUGUCACAGUUAAAGACAGGAAGCAGUCUCCACAGCUCAGAAUGAAAAUGGGCAAUUAUUUGCUAAUUUUAGUCAAUAUUCAGUCAAUAAAGUCAUCCAAUCUCCAAAGUAAAAUAUUUUGACAUAUUUUUUUAUCAUUGAAACAACAAAUUCUUCCUAUAGAAACUAAGGUUAUAUUAGUUAAUCCAUAUUGUUAUAGAAAUUAGUAUUUUAAAAAACCCUAAAAAUCUUCUGGUUGAGACUGUAAGGAAAUUCAAGCAUUUAAAAUUGUUAUCCACAUACCUCAAAUACACAGCACUCAAAAGUGUAACAAUACUUCACACACACACUUAUUACCUCCUCCUCAAAUAAUAUUCUAGAAGCAUCUUAUAUGAUUACUCUCUUAGAGACCACUGAAUUCUCUGGUUAGCCUUCUGGGCCAUGAUGUUUAAUCCAGAAGAUGGUUAAAUUCCUUAAUAUGUAAGUUAAUAAAAAAAAUACUGAAUAAAUAUGGGAACACUAGUAAAACAAGAGACUCAUAAAUGAAAUUUAUUUUUAAAUUGUGCCAGAAAGAUCAGACUUACCAACGAGGAAAGGGAGUUCAUUAAAUGUUAAAUAUUUCAUCUCAGUAAAGUACAUGUAACAACAUUU
Molecule: long non-coding RNA, 3278 nt
Organism: Bos taurus (domestic cattle)
Lineage: Eukaryota; Metazoa; Chordata; Mammalia; Artiodactyla; Bovidae
Source: Ensembl